UCGACGGAGCGCCUAUGAAGGAGAUUUCGGUCAACGGAAUAGGUUGCUUAGUGGCGGACGGGUGAGUAACGCGUGAGGAACCUGCCUUUCAGAGGGGGACAACAGUUGGAAACGACUGCUAAUACCGCAUAACACAUAGGUGUCGCAUGGCAUUUAUGUCAAAGAUUUAUCGCUGAAAGAUGGCCUCGCGUCUGAUUAGCUAGUUGGUGAGGUAACGGCUCACCAAGGCGACGAUCAGUAGCCGGACUGAGAGGUUGGCCGGCCACAUUGGGACUGAGAUACGGCCCAGACUCCUACGGGAGGCAGCAGUGGGGAAUAUUGGGCAAUGGGCGCAAGCCUGACCCAGCAACGCCGCGUGAAGGAAGAAGGCUUUCGGGUUGUAAACUUCUUUUGGCAGGGAAGAGUAGAAGACGGUACCUGUCGAAUAAGCCACGGCUAACUACGUGCCAGCAGCCGCGGUAAUACGUAGGUGGCAAGCGUUGUCCGGAUUUACUGGGUGUAAAGGGCGUGUAGCCGGGUUGACAAGUCAGAUGUGAAAUCCUGCGGCUUAACCGCAGAACUGCAUUUGAAACUGUUGAUCUUGAGUACUGGAGAGGCAGACGGAAUUCCUAGUGUAGCGGUGAAAUGCGUAGAUAUUAGGAGGAACACCAGUGGCGAAGGCGGUCUGCUGGACAGCAACUGACGGUGAGGCGCGAAAGCGUGGGGAGCAAACAGGAUUAGAUACCCUGGUAGUCCACGCUGUAAACGAUGGAUACUAGGUGUGCGGGGACUGACCCCCUGCGUGCCGCAGCUAACGCAAUGAGUAUCCCACCUGGGGAGUACGAUCGCAAGGUUGAAACUCAAAGGAAUUGACGGGGGCCCGCACAAGCGGUGGAUUAUGUGGUUUAAUUCGAUGCAACGCGAAAGAACCUUACCAGGNCUUGACAUCCUACUAACG
Molecule: ribosomal RNA, 937 nt
Filed under: uncultured bacterium
Lineage: Bacteria
Description: bacterial SSU rRNA
Rfam family: Bacterial small subunit ribosomal RNA
Source: RNAcentral